Molecule: long non-coding RNA, 8643 nt
Organism: Dreissena polymorpha
Lineage: Eukaryota; Metazoa; Mollusca; Bivalvia; Myida; Dreissenidae
Exons: 9
Source: RefSeq, a predicted model, not a curated record
GCUGUACAUCAUCAGCCACUGGCAGAACAAGCUUCUCACCCUGGCCAGGGAUGGCACACUCCUGGCUACAUACACGGGCACAGAUCUAAUGGGCCCAACUGGUCUACAUGUGACCCCUGGAGGCGAGGUGCUGGUCUGUGGACGCUAUCCCAACACUGUAAUACAGGUGGGCUGGAAGGGGCAGAGUUAUCCGGCCACUCUGUAUGCAGGGGAGAGCUUUGGAGAUAGUGACCCACGGUCAGUCUGUUACAGCAGCACCACAUCAUCCAUCAUUGUGGGACAGUACUGGAACAACAACAUCCUGGUGUUGAGAGUGGAAUAGUGUGUACAUUCGCAGCUGAGUCAGGACAACGAUGCUGAGGAUGUGGUGGACAAGAAUGACCUGAAUACGCAGAAGGACAGCACCACCAUUGAUAUCGAGUUGGCCCAGCAACAGCACCAGUCCGGCCUGCAGGAGCCCCAGUCCAGGUCGACCCAUCCACUCCCCUGACCCAUAACUCAUCAUACUUGAUAUCCGGAAAAAUGGGGCCUAAUGCAUGUGCUUAAAUUGUUGUCACAGAUAAGCCUGUGCAGAUUGCACAGGCUAAUAAUGGACAGCACUUUCCUCUUAAAGCAGAGCACCAGCAUUGAUAUCGAGUUGGCCCAGAAACCGCACCAGUCCCGCCUGCAGGAGCCCCAGUCCAGAACGACCCUUCCCCUCCCUUGACUUCUAACUACUCCUCCUUGACCUGCCUCAAAAAGUCAGCAUCGUUGAACAACUUCGUUCUGCAGGACAUUCUGAGCAUGAUUCUGUUCUGAACAAACGCAAUGCCCACGUCACGUUUUCUAAACAUAAGCCUGGAUAGUUUUGUUAAGCUGGAGUUCGGCGUGGGCCUGAAAGGGACGAGUGUUACAGACACAAACAGUUAUAGCAGUAGUUAUGGUAACGCUAACAGUCAGUUGUUGCUGUUGGACAUCACAUAAAAUAUCAUGAAGAAUAAAAAGUUCAAUAACUUGUUCCAAUCUUUAUGGGACAAACAGAAAUUGAACGGGAGAAAAUCAAGGAACAAUAAAAGCGUAAGCUUUCCUAGUGGGAUACUUCUGCUGUUGAUAGUUUGAACAACAGUAGGGUAACGGACUGCCCCAGUUUGUCCUCUCAGCGGCCAAAAUAUCAUAAUAGAAUGGACUUUUGGCAAUGUUACUGACAAAGAAAGGCAAUAAUGACUUGGUUGUGAAUACCCAGAGUACGAUACAUGCAUGCUGACAAAGAAAGGCGAUAAUGACUUGGAUGUGAACACCCAGAGCACGAUACAUCCGUGCUGACACAGAAAGGAAGUAAUGGCUUGGUUGUGAACACCCAGAGCAAGAUAUAUCCAUGCUGACACAGAAAGGCAGUAAUGACUAUGCUGUGAACACCCAGAGCACGCUGCAUCCAUGCUGACACAGAAAGGCAGUAAUGACUUGGUUGUGAACACCCAGAGCAAUAUAUAUCCAUGCUGACACAAAAAGGCAGUAAUGACUAUGCUGUGAACACCCAGAGCAAGAUUUUUCCAUGCUGACAUAGAAAGGCAGUUUGACUAUGCUGUAAACACCCAGAGCACAAUACAUCCAUGCUGACACUGAAAAGCAGUAAUGACUUGUUUGACACAUAAAAGCAGUAAUUACUUGUUUGUGAACACCCAGAGCAAGAUAUAUCCAUGCUGACACAGAAAGGAAGUAAUGCCUAUGCUAUGAACACCCAGAGCAAGAUAUUACCAUGCUGACAAAGAAAGGAAGUAAUGACUAUGCUGUGAACACCCAGAGCACAAUACAGCCAUCGUGACACAGUAAGGCAGUAAUGACUUGGUUGUAAACACCCAGCGCAAGAUAUAUCCAUGCUAACACAGAAAGGCAGUAAUGACUAUGUUGUGAACACCCAGAGCAAGAUAUAUCCAUGCUGACACAGAAAGGCAGUAAUGACUUGGUUGUGAAUACCCAGAGCGCGAUACAUCCAUGCUGACACAGAAAGGAAGUAAUGACUUGGUUGUGAACACCCAGAGCAAGAUAUAUCCAUGCUGACACAGAAAGGCAGUAAUGACUAUGCUGUGAAAUCCUAGAACAAGAUAUUUCCAUGCUGACACGGAAAGGCAGUAUGAAUAUGCUGUGAACACCCAGAGCACAAUACAUCCAUUCUGACACAGAAAGGCAGUAAUGAAUUGGUUGUGAACACCCAGAGCAAGAUAUAUACAUGCUGACACAGAAAGGAAGUAAUGACUAUGCUGUGAACACCCAGAGCAAAAUAUAUCCAUGCUGACACAGAAAGGCAGUAAUAACUUGGCUGUGAACACAUAGCACAAUACAUCCAUGCUUCAACAGAAAGGCAGUCAUGACUAUGCUGUGAACACCCAGAGCACGAUAUAUCCAUGCUGACGCAGAAAGGCAGCAAUGACUAUGCAGUGAACACCCAGAGCAAGAUAUAUCCAUACUGACACAGAAAGGCAGUAAUGACUAUGCAGUGAACACCCAGAGCAAGAUAUAUCCAUGCUGACACAGAAAGGCAGUAAUGACUUGACUGUAGACACAGAGUACAAUACAUCCAUGCUGACACAGAAAGGCAGUAUUGACUUGGUUGUGAACACCCAGAGCAAGAUAUAUCCAUGCUGACACAGAAAGGCAGUAAUGACUAUGCAGUGAACACCCAGAGCACGAUAUAUUCAUGCUGACACAGAAAGGCAGUAAUGACUAUGCAGUGAACACCCACAGCAAGAAUUAUCCAUGCUGACACAGAAAGGUACUUAUGACUAUGCUGUGAACACCCAGAGCACAAUACAUCCAUGCUGACACAGAAAGGCAGUAAUGACUAUGCAGUGAACACCCAUAGCAAGAAUUAUCCAUGCUGACACAGAAAGGCAGUAGUGACUAUGCUGUGAACACCCAGAGCAAGAUAUAUCCAUGCUGACACAGAAAGACACUAAUGACUAUGUUGUGAACAUAGGCAGUAAUGACUAUGAUGUUAACACCCAGAGCACAAUACAUCCAUGCUGACACAGAAAGGCAGUAAUGACUUGGUUGUGAACAACCAUAGCAAGAUAUACCCAUGCUGACACAGAAAGGCAGUAAUGACUUGGCUGUGAACACAGAACUUAAUACACCCAUGCUGACACAGAAAGGCAGUAAUGACUUGGCUGUGAACAAACAACACGAUACACCCAUGCUGACACAGAAAGGCAGUAAUGACUUGGCUGUGAACACAGAGCUUAAUACAUCUAUGCUGACACAGAAAGGCAGUAAUGACUUUGCUGUAAACACAGAGCACAAUACAUCCAUGCUGACACAGAAAAGCAGUUAUGACUUGGUUGUCAACACAGAUCACAAUACAUCCUUGUUGACACAGAAAGGCAGUAAUGGCUUUGCUGUGAACUCAGAGCAUGAUACAUCCCUGCUGACACAGAAAGGCAGUAAUGACUUUGCUGUGAACUCAGAGCACCAGACAUCCAUGCUGACACAGAAAGGCAGUAAUGACUUGGAUGUAAACACCCAGAGCACAAUACAUCCAUGCUGACACAGAAAGGCAGUAAAGACUUGGUUGUAAACACCCAGAGCACAAUACAUUCAUGCUGACACAGAAAGGCAGUAAAGACUUUGUUGUAAACACUAAGAGGUCCAUACAUCCAUGGGGUGUGCCACAGACGCAAAUUACGCCCACUAUUGUGAACAAGUGAACUUAACUAGCAAACAUGACAAACGUCAUUGAAGUGAAAGUCGAUGACAACCCCCUUCUUGCACAAAUACUACAACUCGCUUAAGAAAUUCAGCAUGAAGACGUCUUGCGUCAGACUACCAAGCCUCCUAUCAAUAUCUCCUCCCAUGUUGGCUACAUCAACACUUCCAACAGCAGAGCCUUGGUGAGUUCGACUUCCGUCUCAGUAUUGAUGUCACCAAGCAACAAUUUGAUGAUGGGCGUCGACAAAUUAGGCCGGACAAGUCGCUCGAACUGAAACGAUCUAAUCCAACAGGUAGAGCAGGCAUUGCGUGACACGUCCGUUAAUGUGACUGACCUCGAUAUGUUGUUCUCGAAUAAUGUGAACCUUAGGCCUGGAGAGCAGUAUGCGAUUGACCCCAUUCAACAAAAGUUGUUGUUCUUAAUUCUCGGGUUUGCUGUGGCGACUUUGGCGUCGGGACUCACUCCAUCUCUGUCUAUGGCCCAGUUGCAGCAGCAGCAGCAGCAGCAACAAGAACAAUAAAGCCGGUUCCUACAGGAUCACAUGCAGUCAUAGAUCGGUACCCAGCUGAACAACAGGCUGUCUGGUAAGCUGGGCCCGGAUAGGUGCAGCCAGUCUAAAGCUGGGGUUCCAAACUUUCCUGCCAAGUGGGCUGAUAUUGCCUCUUCUACAAGGAACAUAUGUCAGUGAUGCGCAAAGAGCUGGUUUUCUGUUCACAGAGAAAUAUCCUAACAACUCCAACUCAGCCACUACAUCUCAAUAGACAACCCGAAUAUCAAGGCGUUAAGUUUCUUCUGGAUGCAGUUUAUCACAGCUUUCAAGCCAGCAGCUGUCGAUGUAUUGAGAUUCUCUCCUUUCCAUGUUACCUGACCUGCUGCCUGUGAACAUCCUGCACAUAGAACCUUUAUCCCAAACGAUGUAAUUAAACCGGCCAUCAAAAGGACAACCUGGUACAGCACUUGUCAUUAGAUUGACGCCAUGCAUGCCUUUGAAGAUCAUUUAUACAUACACUUUAAGCAUGAUAGUCAAUAAGUGCUUGCGUUGGCUUCUUAAAAGACUGGCAAUCCUGAGCAUUUACGAUGGAAUUCCUCAUCUUGAAAUAUUGGGAAGGCAGGAAAACACCUGUCACUGUUAAGACAAAAAUGAGGAAAUGACAAAGCACAAUAAGACCAGCCAAGUCCUGUGAUCAGCCAAGUCCUGUGAUCAGACAAGUAUUGUGAUCAGCCAAGUCCUGUGAUUAGCCAAGUCCUGUGAUCAGCCAAGUCCUGUGAUCAGCCAAGUCCUGUGGCCAGACACGUCGUGUGGCCAGCCAAGUCCUGUGAUCAGCCAAGUCCUGUGAUCAGACAAGUCCUCUGAUCAGCCAAGUCCUGUGAUCAGACAAGUCAUGUGAUCAGACAAGUCCUGUGAUCAGCCAAGUCCUGUGAUCAGACAAGUCCUGUGAUCAGCCAAGUCCUGUGAUCAGCCAAGUCCUGUGAUCAGCCAAGUCCUGUGAUCAGCCAAGUCCUGUGAUCAGACAAGUCAUGUGAUAAGCCAAGUCUUGUGAUUUGCCAAGUCUUGUGAUCAGUCAAGUCCUGUUUCAAGCCAAGUCCUGUGACCAGCCAAGUCUUGUGACCAGCAAUGUCUGUAGAUCAGCCAAGCCCUGUGAUCAGCCAAGUCUUGUGAUUAGUCAAGUCCUGUUACAAUCCAAGUCCUGUGACCAGCCAAGUCUUGUGACCAGCCAAGUCUUUAGAUCAGCCAAGCCCUGUGAUCAGCCAAGUCUUGUGAUUAGUCAAGUCCUGUGGCCAGCGAAGUCUUGUGGUCAGCCAAGUCAUGUGAUCAGCCAAGUCUUAUGAUCAGUCAAGUCUUGUGGCCAACCAAGUCAAGUCAUCAUCCAAAUCAUGCAAUCAGCCGAGUCAUAUGACCAUCCAAGUUCAAGUCCUGUCAUCAGACAAGUCCUGUGAUAAGCCAAGUCCUGUGAUCAGCCAAGUCCUGUGAUCAGCCAAGUCCUGUGAUUAGCCAAGUCUUGUGAUCAGUCAAGUCCUGUUUCAAGCCAAGUCCUGUGACCAGCCAAGUCCUGUGAUCAACCAAAUUUUUUUGAUCAGUCAAGUCCUGUGACCAGCCAAGUCAUGUGAUCAGCAAAGUUGUAUGAUCAGCCAAGCCCUGUGACCAGCCAAGUCCUGUGACCAGCGAAGUCAUGUGACCAGUCAAGUCUUAGGAUCAGCUUAGUUCUUUGGCCAGCCAAGUCGUGCGACACGCCAAGUAUUUUUACCAGCCAUGUCCUAUGACCAGCAACUUUGUCUUGUGUGUACAGUCUGAUUGUAUGGGAAGAAAAAUCUUCAUUUUAUAUUGUAUGUGCAUAAUGAUACUGACAGUAGCUUGAUGAUUAAGUAUAUUGUUAUAUAUUGGUAAAUAGACCAAUAUGAUAAGGGGAAACUCAGUAAUAGCAGUAAUGUAAAGUAUUAUUUCAAGAGCAAAAUAAUGCAAGUACUACUAUUUUGUCUGUAUUCAGAAACUGACUCUAUAUAGCUUUAUCCUGAUUAUCGUAAACAGACAGACAAAAAUAUGUUACAAUUGUUUUUUAAACAUUGAUUUUAAGCCUUCACAAAGUUGUUUAAAUAAUGCUGAUACCUUGGACAAUAUUUAACUUAUUUAUUGUAUAAACAAGACAUGCUUAUUUUUAGUUUUUACCUAUAAAAUAGCAAUAUGUGCUAGGUAAUAUAAUUGAUCAGAACUAUAUCAUAAUUGUGAUGCUUCUAUUUUGAUAUGUCUGUCAUUCUGUCUGUGUACAUUUAUCAUCAGUUUGCUCUUUUGAGGCAGUAUUUUAUCAAGAAUUUCAUGUAUUGAUGUAAUAGUAAAAUAUCAAAUAAUAAUUUGAUUUAUUCAAACUACAUUAACCUUCUGUUAAUUAUCAAUUUAUUUAUUGACAACAGAUACUUUGUUUAAUAUUAACAAUAGUUAAGCGCGUUAUAAAAAUUGUGUAAAUGUACAUGCAUAAUAUUGCGAUAAUUAAUGCACACAUUAAUGGAAAAACUUUUUAAAUAAAGUAAAAUUUACAAGUGCAUCUUAAUUGUAAUGGAGUUUGUUUAAUUAUUAAAAAAGUAUGCUUUCAUUGUUGAAAAUAUGAUAGUAAUUCCUUUACAAGUAAUUUUGUUUCAAAGUGAGUAUUUUCAUGAAUAAUGAUCCUAGAUAUGGUUGUAAAUUGUUCUUGUUGUAUCAUAUACUGACAUGCUCAUUAUUUGUGUUGACAUUGGCAUUCAAGCAUUAAAAGUUCAUUAUGCUUUAACUAUUUGUAUGUACACAUUUGCGACCAGCUGUUCUAAUGUAAUAAGUGAAUAACGUAACACAGAUUUAUGUGUCACUGUAUAUACGUUUAUUUUGUCAUUUGUAAAUAGAUCAACUGCAAAGCUAAUGUUUUUGUUUGUACAUUAUUCAUAAAAUGUUGCCAUUUCAAACAGAUACAUUCACUGUUUGAAUUCAUUUGUACAAAAUUGUUUCAUAUUAAACAUCAUGUACAUAUCAGGCAAUAGAGAAAGAAUUGCUUUGGAUGAAUGAGCACAUUAACCUGUAUAGUUAAUUAAGACAUGCAGAAUAUCAGAUUAUUAACAUAAUAAUAUACUUUAAGCAUUAGAAACACUUGUUUUAUGUCAAGCUUUUCAGUUAACAUAAUUAAGCAACUACUAUCUGGAAAUUUGGAAAACAGUGAAGAACGAUUCAAGGGAGAGCAACUGUGAUAUACUAAAUAAAAGUCGUCUCCCUUGUUAGAGUAUAAUUGUACCCCUGAACGUAACAAGAACAUUGAAUCUUUUUUUUUAUUAUUCCACACUAUAAACUAUAUACUAUAUUCAUUCAGCAAUCACUAAAGAAAUAUGGUUUACAUAAUUAAUUAUUUCUAUGCGUUAUACCAAAUUCUCCAGUUUGGCAUCAAUUAAAAUUCAUCAAUUUUAAUUGCCAAAAUUGGCCAUACAGUGCUUAAAGUCUGGUAUUCUGACAAUUAUAAGUGCAUGUUCUCAUACAAUAUCACAUUGUAUUUUUUCACACUGAGGCAAUAUGUGUUAAUAUAUUGAUUUUUAUUUAUUGACUUGUUGUUGCUUGUUAAGGUGUCUAAUUUUGAAUUAUAGCUGUUAAUUGAUUGUGACUUUUUUCCAGUUUUGAAUCGUUGCUUUUAGUUGAUUGUUUACAAGUUUUGUAAAAGCUGUUUUCAUGUUGACCGCUCCACAUUAAAUGUCGUUGACGCGCAUUCACUGCGGCCAGGUUCCGUAAAACUCCCAACUUAUCUGAUGUCUUAUGAUUGGAUUCCAUACACACGUGGUUGUUUAUACUCAGCUUGCUUUGCAUUAAACAUGUCUGCUUUAUUGUUAAACAAUUAUACACAGCUUUUUAUUGGACAAAUUUGUGUUAUAUUUCAAAUUUUUGCUUUCGCUUUUUUAUUUCCAACAAAAUACAUUUUGUUUUUUUGUAUGUAUGUUUAGCUAUAAUAAAAUUGUUUCUAUAAUAUAUAAACAAUCUAUUAUAAGCAUUAAACUAUAUUGGUAAAAGUAGAUUUAAGGUUCAAAAUCAUGUCUUAAUUUGUUCGAUUAUCCCAAAUGAACAUUUUGCAAAAACAAAACUUGUUGAAUAAGAAAAACUUUAUGCAACGUACCACCAGGUCUUUUAACCAUUGAUUGUGUAUCACUAAUGAUCAGGACUUAAUCAGGGAUUAAUAAUUGCCUAUGCACGGUUAUAAUGUUUGUGUUAUUGAAUUGAAUCAUUUUUGUAGUUUGGUGCACAUUAAUUGUUGUUGUUUUUUAAAGACAUAGCACAUGUCAUAUAAUAUAGUAUCAUUGUAGUUUUGGUAUGUUUAGGGAUAUAAUCAUGUUAAUGUAUGUGAUUUGCUGAUCAAUUUCUUGUUGUUUCACUCCAUUUAAUGUUUAUAGCCAUGCAUAGAGCAGGAAUAUUGUUGUACUGUAAAAAAAUGUUGUAAAAGCAAAUAAAAAAUGUAUGUUAA